CAUGGGGACUGAGAGGGAUCCCAAGCCUAAUGUCUCCCAGGGAGCAGCCUUGUGAUGCUGGGACAAGGAUCAGAGGCAGACGUGGCUGAUGGAAAUCAAGGCCUCAGAGAUGAGAUGGCGUACCCUCCCAGCCCUCAUGCGUGUCAGCAGGAGCCAAACCCAGGUUUUAUGACUUUGGACCUCAGGUGGAGCCCACGAAACCAGGACAAAUACAAAUGCCCUGCCCUGCAGCCAAUCUACUUCCUUGUGAAGCCCAAGUGGUCAACUCUAUACAUACAUUGGGUCAGGAUCAAGGUGUGGCACCUUUAGGAAAGUUACUGAACAUCUCUGUGCCUCACUUUCCUCAUCUGUAAAACAGUUGGUAAUCAUGGUAUAUCUGGAUGGGUGACAGCAUCAUAUUGGUAUGUUUAUAAAAUCACAGUAAAUGCUUACAGGAUUUGAAGGGAGACCUGAGAAGCAUGGGUGAGUUCAGUUCUACUCUAGCCAUCGUGUGACCUUGUAGGUGGUUUUGCUUGUUGGAGCCUGUUUCCUUCUCUGUGUAAGAGGCAACAGCCUCAGGGUGCUCAUGUGGAUGUUGUGCAGGAUGAGAUUAAAGCAUGGAAGGGCCUUGGAGAGUACCUCUUCUCAUGCUGCAGCACGCACAUGCAUCCCCAGGGAACCUUGUGAAGAUGCAGGUUAUGGCUUAGUCAUGUGAGGCAUGCUUGCUUUUCUUACAAGCCUCCAAGGGAUGCCAAAGUUGCUGGUUCACGGACCACACUUUGAGUAGCAAGACUGUACCUAAGAAAGCACCAUGCAAGUGCUAUUAACAACGAGUCAUGCAGAGGGCCAUGCUCACAGCCUUCCAGUUACAAGCUCAAAAACUCAAAAAGCUUGGAGGGCCCACUGGGAGUGUCAGCAGGAACCCAUUUGGAGAGUUUUCCCAGGUGGGAGUUUUCUGUCAGGAAAAGGGUUCCUACACCUCUAGCUCUUGAACCCCUAACGGGGCUCUGUUGACAGCUACACCUGAUCUUGGGGCUUUCAAAAGAGGAUGUAAAAAUAUUCUUACAUCUUGCACAUCAAAAUAUACUCAUUCAUAAUUAACUUAUGCAAUUAUUUGAAAAUAAAAAUACACGUUUUAAUUUAAAAAAA
Molecule: non-coding RNA, 1128 nt
Organism: Manis javanica (Malayan pangolin)
Lineage: Eukaryota; Metazoa; Chordata; Mammalia; Pholidota; Manidae
Source: RefSeq, a predicted model, not a curated record